GCGGAAGGCUGGAUGACUGCUGUACCCUUCGCGGGGUAGGGAGGAAAGUCCGGACUCCAAUAAGAAACGGUGCCGGGUAACGCCCGGGCGGGGCAACCCGACGGAAAGCGCCACAGAAAAUAGACCGCCUGUCAGUCCAGAGCUUGCUCCGGGUCCCUGUCAGGUAAGGGUGAAACGGUGGGGUAAGAGCCCACCGCGCGGCUGGUAACAGCGGCGGCAUGGCAAGCCCCACUUGGAGCAACGCCAAAUAGGGACCGCGUGCCGUAUCGGCCUUUCGGGGCAGAUCGGCGGAGCCUCUUAUGCUCCAGCAGGUCCGGGUUGGCGGCUGUAGCUGUGUCGGCAACGGCAUGGUCAGAGGAAUGGUCAUCUAUGACGUAUCGCUUGCGGUAUGUCGGGACAAAAUCCGGCUUACAGGCCUUCCGCGCAA
This 427-nucleotide RNase P RNA is filed under the name Sulfitobacter guttiformis. Its description in RNAcentral is "Bacterial RNase P class A". It matches the Rfam family "Bacterial RNase P class A". Rfam says of the family: Ribonuclease P (RNase P) is a ubiquitous endoribonuclease, found in archaea, bacteria and eukarya as well as chloroplasts and mitochondria. Its best characterised activity is the generation of mature 5'-ends of tRNAs by cleaving the 5'-leader elements of precursor-tRNAs. Cellular RNase Ps are ribonucleoproteins. The record is from Rfam by way of RNAcentral. Lineage: Bacteria; Pseudomonadati; Pseudomonadota; Alphaproteobacteria; Rhodobacterales; Roseobacteraceae.